UUACUUUUAAAAUUUUAUUUCUAAUGGCAUACCUAUGUAAUUACUUACAAAAAGUAAGGUUAUAUUUAAAAUAUACUUUCCAAAUAAUAUAGUAGGAUUUUCACAUCUUUUUCUGCUUUCAGGGAUAAUUUUUGAUUAGAAUUUUAGUUUUGU
Molecule: small RNA, 153 nt
Filed under: Arabidopsis thaliana (thale cress)
Lineage: Eukaryota; Viridiplantae; Streptophyta; Magnoliopsida; Brassicales; Brassicaceae
Description: ATSL016760
Source: RNAcentral